This 3629-nucleotide long non-coding RNA is filed under the name Sphaeramia orbicularis (orbiculate cardinalfish). Its description in RNAcentral is "lncRNA (ENSSORG00005011473.1)". The record is from RNAcentral. Lineage: Eukaryota; Metazoa; Chordata; Actinopteri; Kurtiformes; Apogonidae.
AUGGACAGAUGGACGACGCGUCAAGUUGGACGACCAUCACACUCAAAGCAACGAACAACUGGUCUCACAGAGGGGAAGAAUGAUGAGCAUCUCCUUCAUCUCUCCUUACCUUGUCAAACCAAAAGACAACAACUCUGCCACCACCACUCAUCCUUUUCUUAUUUCCUUAUAAGAAAAGAAGAAGUGGUUUCCUUAUUAGAAAAAAUAAAAAAUAAUAAAAAAUAAAACUCUGGAUGAAAACACUGACUCUCUUAGGAAACUCGGAGCUAUGAGAAGCCUUUCCAUUACAGGAGGACAUCUGGACUGAUUUUUUUUGCACAGAGCAAAGCUGCAGUAGGACUCUGAGGUACGAGAAAUGUUACUUGAAUCAUCUACUACAUAUAUUUACAACAUGUCUGCUGGCUAACGGAGCCUCCAUAAUUCAUGAAUAGAAGGGUUUUGGGAGAUUGCUCCUUUUGCUGUAGAGAAUAAUAACUUGUAUGUCCUGUCUGAACAUUGCAUAUCAUAAUCAAACCAAAACAUAUUAUUGCAUGCUUGAUAGUAGAGCAUGUGAAAAAGUUUGACUUCCAUGUCACUGGCUCAACCCUGCACUGAUAAUCUAAAAUGGGAACAACAACAACAGCUCAUUGAUAUUAAGUUUAAUGGAAUAAUUCUGCUUGAUUGGUGGAGUUAGUUGCUAAAUCUAUAUUUUUAAAGUAUUGUACUAUGUUUUAAAUAGAGAAAAUUUGGUUCAACUUGUGAAUUACUUUGUAGUUUUGUUUUAUUUUUUUUGUUUUUUACAAUUUUGCAAAUGUGUCUUUAUUUUUUAUUUUUUUAUGCCUUGGUAGUCAAAGCAGCUCCAGUAGGCGGCUCUGCCUGUUAAAACAGAAAAACAAACAAAAAAAAAAACUAAGCAUAAACCUUUGGCCCUAUGAGACGAAUGUUGGUGCAGGUAGUAAAAAACAAAAUCUGUCAAGAUGCAUUUAACGCGGACAUUAUACACCUAAUUUUCUUUGGAUGAUUUUUGAAUGUUCCUGAUUGUGUUGGGUGUUGAUCAGAAUGCUGUAUCAGUUUUAUAUUGAUAACAUCUACCUCAGUGUCCGCUCAUUUACAACAGAAGCUUUAACACCUGAAUGACGUUUCAGUUUCUGAAAGGUUUAGUUUUUAGAUGCCUCUGUAAUUUUCUGGUGCAAUGAAAUACACUCAUGUACUCUUUAAACUGCCAUGUACGAACUAAGAAAAGUCCAAAAAGAUGCUAAAGAUACCAGAGGAGCAGAGUCCUUCCUAUAAUAUUGCCAUUGCCAACAUGUAAUUAGAUAGAAAAUGUCAUACAGACUGAUUAAUGCUACAGCAAAACAGCAUAGAGCCUGACAUGAUGAUUUUCUUUGCACAUUUUGUUAAUUUAUUUGUUAAAUUGUUGAAAGUGUGUGAGUGAGUGUGACUGAUUCCUAGCAUUUUAUUGAUUUAAAGGGCAAUAAUGUAUUGCAGAUGUUUCCUGCAAAUAAAUAGAUGGGUCAGCUUGUCUUAAAGAACCGCUAAACCCCAAACAAUCUCACUAAACAAUGAUUUCAGACUUGGUGAUGGUCUAAAUGUGAGUGUGGAAAACAGUCCAGUUCUUGGGUUCAUUUCACCAAACUGGAGAAAUUUGAAAUUAAUUUUGGAAUAUAUUUAAUGUCUUUUUCAGAACUAGAUGAGAAAAUGGAAAUCAGUUUGAACUGCACAUCAAAUACAGAGAAAAUUGCAAGACUGGAUUAACUUCCAAGUUAGUAAAUUACAACAUGUAGGAGCAUAAAUAACUUUGCAUUUGUGGAAAUGUCUAUUUAUUAGUGCAUAGCGAUACUGGAUUUCCUCUGAUUCCAAUCUUUCUGGUGUUCUAGGCUGAGCUAUUUUCUCAUCUAGUUUUGUGAAAAAUGGUAAAUUAUCUUCCAAAAGAUUUGGCUGUUUAUCAUGAAUAGAAAAUGAAAACUCUGGUUUGAAAAAACUAUCAUCAAAGUUUCAAUGUCAAAGCUGCCAUUUGGUAUAGUUGUAAUUCUGCUUUGCUUGAACAUAAAAAUAGCCAAGGCAUUUGUCACUGAAUGCUUUCAUAUGGACAUUGAGUAUCCAUUAUGAUUAUAGGGUGUGUACAUAUAUAUAUAUAUAUAUAUAUAUAUAUAUAUAUAUAUAUAUAUAUAUAUCCCAUUUUUGGUUUGUAUAUCAUAUCUGAUUUCAGAAACUCAGAAAAGCUCUUUUAAUGUGAUUAGAGCAGCAGAUUUACCCCUAAAUAAGCAAGAAUUCCACUGCAUGUAGUCAACACAUCUUGUCCAUUGACAGCCAAGAGAUGUUAAAGUGAAUGCAAGCGAUGGUGGCAGUGAAAGCCUUUCAUUUUUGGAACACUGAAGAGACAGUAUUUUGUCUUUUGAUAAUGAAAGAAUUCAGUAUACUUAGUUAUUUUGGCUACAUCUAAAUCAUUUUUGUGUUAAUUUUUUCACUUUAAAAUGGAAAAUCAUUUCCAUCCACAGUACAAAAGUGAACAUUCUGACAUGCCUGGAAUGCAUAUGACAUGAUGAGGCAUUUAUAAUCCUGCUGGACAUGGGAAUGGACACACAUUUCUCAGGUAACAGGGAGUCAGCUGUAAACCAGAGGUAACAUGUAGAUUUUAAUAUCAGCUAACACAGACAAUGAGAACACAAUCACUUGUAAUUCAGUAUUCAUUUUGUUGAAUUAAUAGGGCAAGGGUCCCAUCAGGAUUUCUUCCACAAAAGGGGUCCAGUAAAUCAUAGCAUCUGAUAAGUCCUAAUCAAUCAGCAAAUGUGGAUGUCAACGUCACUGUUUCCAAAAGUCUCAGUUUUCAAGAGGUAUAAAUGCUGUGGUGUGGAGAGAAAUUAUCCUGUGUUCAUGUAGCCAGUGGACAAAUUACAGGAUGCUAUCAUCCAGUCAGAAAGGCAAGUGUACUGAUACAGCACAUGGCAACCCGAGCCAGUCUGUAGAGAGUACACAGGCAAUAGCACAGGAAACAAAUAUAUUAGAUAAAUAAAAGCAAAAUACAAAAAAAAAAAAAAGGAAAAUUAUGGUAUGGUAUACAGAAGAAAAAGUACCUCCACAGAAAGCAUGUGGUCAUAAUAAUAGCCUGGGAUACUAGUGUUUAUCGUCUUUAUGGGGAUUUUCUUCCUGUAGGUAAAUAUCACAUCUGUGAUCCACUCAGUAAGUGUCCAUGUAAACACAUUCUUUGACAAAAGCACUAAUGAGCUAAGACUGGGCAUUUGUUAUGAUGAUUAAAAUAUUUUGCUUAUUGUAUGUGCAAUAAUAUUACAAUAUUUUGUUCAUAGAACAGUGUCAAAAGAUUUCCACAUUUUUAACCUUCACUUGAACUUAACUUCAUGUAACAUCCUCUUAACACCUCAAAGAUAUUUUCAUGCAUUGUUAUCAGAGUUCAGGCUGUCACCAAACUCAAACCGUCCCAUAUUUUUUUAUUAUUAUUAUUUUUUAUUUUAUAAGAAAAAGCAAUAGUAUGAAUGGUUACUGUGCUCUGGGAACUUCAGUUUUGAAGUAAAAUGCUUUUUUUUUGCCUUCUUUGAUUUUGUCUGUUUUUAAUUUUAAGUAUUGUUGCCAUGUUUAUUUCGACAAUCUUCAAUUGUGAUCUAUUUUUGAUAAAAUAAAUCUUUAAUCCUGGU